RNAcentral lists this ribosomal RNA (297 nucleotides) under Flirtea phalerata. RNAcentral describes it as "partial small subunit ribosomal RNA". The record is from RNAcentral. Lineage: Eukaryota; Metazoa; Arthropoda; Arachnida; Opiliones; Cosmetidae.
UGUAUGAUAUAUGAGAAAAAUUAUUAUAUGUUGAAAUUUAAAAUUUUUGGCGGCUUUUUGUUGUUUAGAGGAACUUGCUUAUUAUUAGAAAUUACUCUUUAAAUUUAAAGAAUUUUUGUUUAUUUAUCUUCGUUAUUAAAUGUUAAGUUGAAUAAAAUGUAUAUUUAUAUUUCAGAUCAAGAUGUAGCAAAAAUUUUAGUAGGUUAGUUACAUUUAUGAAGUAAUGGAUUUUAAGUUUUAAUAUAGAUUGAAAUUGAAUUUAGUUGUAACAUUUUUUAGAAAAGGAAUUUGAAGUUU